Phrynosoma platyrhinos (Desert horned lizard) is the source of this 73-nucleotide non-coding RNA. NCBI's taxonomy places the organism in Eukaryota, Metazoa, Chordata, Lepidosauria, Squamata, Phrynosomatidae. The record is from the annotation of a GenBank genome assembly.
GUCAGCGUGGCGCAGUGGUUAGAGUGUUGGAUUAAUUCUUUGGGAGACCAGAGUUCGAAUCCCUGCCUUGCCA